AGUUACGGAGCUUUGUAAGUCCUAAGCCUGUGUUUUGAAAACACAAGAAAGGGGUUAAAACCCCCUAGUAACUU
Molecule: transfer RNA, 74 nt
Filed under: Paraneotermes simplicicornis
Lineage: Eukaryota; Metazoa; Arthropoda; Insecta; Blattodea; Kalotermitidae
Description: tRNA-Ser
Rfam family: tRNA
About the family: Transfer RNA (tRNA) molecules are approximately 80 nucleotides in length.
Source: RNAcentral